GAUUAACGCUAGCGGCAGGCAUAAUACAUGCAAGUUGAACGGCAGCACAGGUAGCAAUACUGGGUGGCGAGUGGCGCACGGGUGCGUAACACGUAUGCAACCUACCCUAUACAGGCGAAUAACCUUUAGAAAUGAGGGCUAAUACGCCGUAGUAUUACAGAUGGGCAUCUAUUUGUAAUUAAAGAUUUAUCGGUAUAGGAUGGGCAUGCGUCCCAUUAGUUAGUUGGUAAGGUAACGGCUUACCAAGACGAUGAUGGGUAGGGGAUCUGAGAGGACUUACCCCCACACUGGUACUGAGACACGGACCAGACUCCUACGGGAGGCAGCAGUAAGGAAUAUUGGGCAAUGGCCGCGAGGCUGACCCAGCCAAGCCGCGUGCAGGAAGACGGCCUUAUGGGUUGUAAACUGCUUUUAUACGGGAAUAAUAGAGUGUACGCGUACAUUUAUGCAAGUAUCGUAUGAAUAAGCAUCGGCUAACUCCGUG
Molecule: ribosomal RNA, 484 nt
Filed under: uncultured bacterium
Lineage: Bacteria
Description: partial 16S ribosomal RNA
Rfam family: Bacterial small subunit ribosomal RNA
Source: RNAcentral